This 220-nucleotide long non-coding RNA is filed under the name Brassica napus (rape). RNAcentral describes it as "long non-coding RNA (BNAP_LNC018932)". Lineage: Eukaryota; Viridiplantae; Streptophyta; Magnoliopsida; Brassicales; Brassicaceae. The record is from RNAcentral.
AGGUGGUUAAUGUAGGGAAUUUAGCUAGAUUUAUAGAAUUUGUUAUUUAUAGAAUUUGUUAAUUACUGUUGAUGUUAAUUUUAAAAAUUAAUUUUUUUUUCCAGACGGUUCGAAAGAACAGACUUACUCCCAACUACAGAGAGAUGUUCGGUGAGCCUGGUAGUCGUUUAGACCCGUCUUCUUCAGCUCUCGGUUCUUCUUCAGCUCCCGGUUCUUCGGG